RNAcentral lists this ribosomal RNA (410 nucleotides) under uncultured bacterium. RNAcentral's name for it is "bacterial SSU rRNA". It matches the Rfam family "Bacterial small subunit ribosomal RNA", at positions 945 to 1359 of the family's 1533-position model. The record is from RNAcentral.
AUUAAUUCGAUGCAGCGCGAAAAACCUUACCUACCCUUGACAUGGAAGGAAUCCCCGAGAGAUCGGGGAGUGCCCGAAAGGGAGCCUUCACACAGGUGCUGCAUGGCUGUCGUCAGCUCGUGUCGUGAGAUGUUGGGUUAAGUCCCGCAACGAGCGCAACCCUUGUCAUUAGUUGCUACGAAAGGGCACUCUAAUGAGACUGCCGGUGACAAACCGGAGGAAGGUGGGGAUGACGUCAAGUCCUCAUGGCCCUUAUGGGUAGGGCUUCACACGUCAUACAAUGGUACAUACAGAGGGCUGCCAACCCGCGAGGGGGAGCUAAUCCCAGAAAGUGUAUCGUAGUCCGGAUUGUAGUCUGCAACUCGACUACAUGAAGUUGGAAUCGCUAGUAAUCGCGGAUCAGCAUGUCG